AAAUUGAAGAGUUUGAUCAUGGCUCAGAUUGAACGCUGGCGGCAGGCCUAACACAUGCAAGUCGAACGGUAGCACAGAGAG
Molecule: ribosomal RNA, 81 nt
Filed under: Enterobacter cloacae
Lineage: Bacteria; Pseudomonadati; Pseudomonadota; Gammaproteobacteria; Enterobacterales; Enterobacteriaceae
Also listed under: 11 other names
Description: partial 16S ribosomal RNA
Rfam family: Bacterial small subunit ribosomal RNA
Source: RNAcentral